AUUGAACGCUGGCGGCAGGCUUAACACAUGCAAGUCGAGCGGGGUGAUGGUGCUUGCACUAUCACUUAGCGGCGGACGGGUGAGUGAUGCUUAGGAAUCUGCCUAUUAGUGGGGGACAACAUCUCGAAAGGGAUGCUAAUACCGCAUACGUCCUACGGGAGAAAGCAGGGGAUCACUUGUGACCUUGCGCUAAUAGAUGAGCCUAAGUCGGAUUAGCUAGAUGGUGGGGUAAAGGCCUACCAAGGCGACGAUCUGUAGCGGGUCUGAGAGGAUGAUCCGCCACACUGGGACUGAGACACGGCCCAGACUCCUACGGGAGGCAGCAGUGGGGAAUAUUGGACAAUGGGGGGAACCCUGAUCCAGCCAUGCCGCGUGUGUGAAGAAGGCCUUAUGGUUGUAAAGCACUUUAAGCGAGGAGGAGGCUCUUUUGGUUAAUACCCAAGAUGAGUGGACGUUACUCGCAGAAUAAGCACCGGCUAACUCUGUGCCAGCCGCCGCCGUAA
RNAcentral lists this ribosomal RNA (503 nucleotides) under uncultured bacterium. RNAcentral describes it as "partial 16S ribosomal RNA". It matches the Rfam family "Bacterial small subunit ribosomal RNA", at positions 30 to 523 of the family's 1533-position model. The record is from RNAcentral.